AAAGCCUUAAUCUUCAGGGAGGAAACGAAGGGGAAAAACAAGUCCUUGACACAGACUUUAAUUUUUAGGUCUUUACAAGGCAGAACAGAGCAGCAGUGAAACUGGUGACCAUUUUCCUUAAUAUUUUUCAUUCUGAGACCAGUGCCUCCACAGAUAUUAUCAUUUAUUAAUAACUAUACAAGGUUAUAAGCAAGUCUUGCAGGCCUGAGAGCCAAUCUGCUUCUGCAAGUGAUUCUGCUUAUCUUGGUUCUGAUUCAUUCUGUACUGAUCUUACAAGUUUAACUGCCAAAGAACAUCAUGAUAAAUCCUGAAAGCAGCUAUCAAGUACCCUAUCAUCCUAGGGCUUUCAUCCCAAAAUAUACAAAAAGCACUGAAAUCCUAGAAACCCUGAGCAUUCAAAUCUACUAUCCACUUCUUCUGGACAAAGCAAAAGAACUUUCCUUCCCCACAAGA
Molecule: long non-coding RNA, 453 nt
Organism: Equus quagga
Lineage: Eukaryota; Metazoa; Chordata; Mammalia; Perissodactyla; Equidae
Exons: 3
Source: RefSeq, a predicted model, not a curated record